RNAcentral lists this ribosomal RNA (440 nucleotides) under uncultured bacterium. RNAcentral describes it as "partial 16S ribosomal RNA". It matches the Rfam family "Bacterial small subunit ribosomal RNA", at positions 338 to 795 of the family's 1533-position model. The record is from RNAcentral.
CCUACGGGGGGCAGCAGUAGGGAAUAUUGCUCAAUGGGGGAAACCCUGAAGCAGCAACGCCGCGUGCAGGAUGAAGGUUUUCGGAUUGUAAACUCCUUUUGUUAGAGAAGAUAAUGACGGUAUCUAACGAAUAAGCACCGACUAACUCCGUUCCAGCAGCCGCGGUAAUACGGAGGGUGCAAGCGUUACUCGGAAUCACUGGGCGUAAAGAGCGCGUAGGCGGGAUAGCAAGUCAGAUGUGAAAUCCUAUGGCUUAACCAUAGAACUGCAUUUGAAACUGUUAUUCUAGAGAAUGGGAGAGGUAGGUGGAAUUGUUGGUGUAGGGGUGAAAUCCGUAGAGAUCAAGAGGAAUACUCAUUGCGAAGGCGACCUGCUAGAACAUAACUGACGCUGAUGCGCGAAAGCGUGGGGAGCAAACAGGAUUAGAUACCCCUGUAGUC